This 146-nucleotide unclassified non-coding RNA is filed under the name soil metagenome. RNAcentral's name for it is "partial internal transcribed spacer 1". The record is from RNAcentral.
CCGAGUUUACAACUCCCAAACCCCUGUGAACAUACCUUAUGUUGCCUCGGCGGAUCAGCCCGCGCCCGUAAAAAGGGACGGCCCGCCGCAGGAACCCUAAACUCUGUUUUUAGUGGAACUUCUGAGUAUAAAAAACAAAUAAAUCA